UAGUUCUUAUACUGCCUCUAAUGAGCCAU
This 29-nucleotide non-coding RNA is filed under the name Rattus norvegicus (Norway rat). The record is from RNAcentral. Lineage: Eukaryota; Metazoa; Chordata; Mammalia; Rodentia; Muridae.